This 452-nucleotide ribosomal RNA is filed under the name Veillonella parvula. RNAcentral's name for it is "bacterial SSU rRNA". It matches the Rfam family "Bacterial small subunit ribosomal RNA", at positions 28 to 457 of the family's 1533-position model. The record is from RNAcentral. Lineage: Bacteria; Bacillati; Bacillota; Negativicutes; Veillonellales; Veillonellaceae.
GACGAACGCUGGCGGCGUGCUUAACACAUGCAAGUCGAACGAAGAGCGAUGGAAGCUUGCUUCUAUCAAUCUUAGUGGCGAACGGGUGAGUAACGCGUAAUCAACCUGCCCUUCAGAGGGGGACAACAGUUGGAAACGACUGCUAAUACCGCAUACGAUCUGACCUCGGCAUCGAGGAUAGAUGAAAGGUGGCCUCUACAUGUAAGCUAUCACUGAAGGAGGGGAUUGCGUCUGAUUAGCUAGUUGGAGGGGUAACGGCCCACCAAGGCGAUGAUCAGUAGCCGGUCUGAGAGGAUGAACGGCCACAUUGGGACUGAGACACGGCCCAGACUCCUACGGGAGGCAGCAGUGGGGAAUCUUCCGCAAUGGACGAAAGUCUGACGGAGCAACGCCGCGUGAGUGAUGACGGCCUUCGGGUUGUAAAGCUCUGUUAAUCGGGACGAAAGGCCUUC